GAGAUUUCAUUCGCACUAGUGAUAGCUAGUUUCCCCGGAAAGAUAUAAAAGUGUCUGGAAAAAUAUAAUUUAUAAUAUGAACUAUUAUAUAUAUAUGCAUUUCACUAAUUUUUUUGAGGAUAAGCUCAAAAAAAAGUUAAGGAUUUUUUAGUUAAAUUUGCUGUAUAGGUUUAAAAUUGGCCAUUACAAGAGUUUUUUAUAAAAUAGCAAUUAUUAAUUUUAUAAAUAAAUAUAAUUAUAAGCUAACUUCUUACGGGGACAAGAACUUUAACUUGAAAUAAGUUUUAUGCCUAUGCUAGAAUGAGUAUUAAAACUUAAUUAUAGAAGAUUUAUUUAUAUUAUGUCUUCUUUAAAAAAAAUAAAAAAAAUUAAUUAAUUAGAAGGAACUCGGCAAAUUCAGUUGUUCCGCCUGUUUAUCAAAAACAUGGCUAUUUGACUAUACAAAUAUAGAGAGUCGAGCCUGCCC
Molecule: ribosomal RNA, 466 nt
Filed under: Semisulcospira reticulata
Lineage: Eukaryota; Metazoa; Mollusca; Gastropoda; Semisulcospiridae
Description: partial 16S ribosomal RNA
Source: RNAcentral